Molecule: ribosomal RNA, 427 nt
Filed under: grassland soil clone sl2_717
Lineage: Bacteria
Description: bacterial SSU rRNA
Rfam family: Bacterial small subunit ribosomal RNA
Source: RNAcentral
AACACAUGCAAGUCGAGCGGUCACCACUUUGUAGCAAUACAGAUGAAGUGAUAGCGGCAGACGGGUGAGUAACACGUAGGCAAUCUACCUUUCCGUUCGGGAUAACUAGCCGAAAAGGUUAGCUAAUACCUGAUACGAUCACCGGGUGGCAUCACUUGGUGAUGAAAGCAGCAAUGCGCGGAUUGAGGAGCCUGCGGCCCAUUAGCUAGUUGGUGAGGGUAACGGCCCACCAAGGCGACGAUGGGUAGCUGGUCUGAAAGGACGACCAGCCACACUGGGACUGAGACACGGCCCAGACUCCUACGGGAGGCAGCAGUGAGGAAUUUUCCGCAAUGGGCGAAAGCCUGACGGAGCGACGCCGCGUGCACGAGGAAGGUCUUCGGAUCGUAAAGUGCUGUCGAGGGGGACGAUUAUGACGGUACCCCUG